UACAGAGGCCUCGAGCGUUAGGCGGCAUCACUGGGCUUAAAGCGUGUGUCGGCGGAUGCCUAAGUGCCUUGUGAAAUUCCACGGCUUAACCGUGGAACUGCUUGGCAUACUGGGUGUCUUGAGCAGCCUAGGGGCGAGCGGAACAGAUGGUGGAGCGGUGAAAUGCGUAGAUAUCAUCUGGAACGCCAAUGGUGAAGACAGCUCGCUGGGGGCUCGCUGACGCUGAGACACGAAAGCCAGGGGAGCGAACGGG
Molecule: ribosomal RNA, 253 nt
Filed under: uncultured bacterium
Lineage: Bacteria
Description: partial 16S ribosomal RNA
Rfam family: Bacterial small subunit ribosomal RNA
Source: RNAcentral